Molecule: ribosomal RNA, 253 nt
Filed under: uncultured bacterium
Lineage: Bacteria
Description: partial 16S ribosomal RNA
Rfam family: Bacterial small subunit ribosomal RNA
Source: RNAcentral
GACGAACCGUGCGAACGUUGUUCGGAAUCACUGGGCUUAAAGGGCGCGUAGGCGGGUCGGAAAGUCCGCGGUGAAAUCCCCCCGCUCAACGGGGGAACGGCCGCGGAUACUGUCGGCCUCGAGGGGGGUAGGGGCGAGCGGAACGCUGGGUGGAGCGGUGAAAUGCGUAGAUAUCAUUUGGAACGCCAAUGGUGAAAACAGGUAGCUGGGGAUGUGCUGACGCUGAGACACGAAAGCCAGGGGAGCAAACGGG